GCUAGCUACCCCCUGGGCGGCAGGGGGAUGCCCAUCUCUACGUUUUCGCUUUCUCUGCUGCCUCUGGAUUGCCAGAUGCGACUAUGCGGUUGGCCCUGUGCAUGUGCCGCGGCCCCCUUUUCCCUCGCCAGGCAGAGCUGACAUCACCGGUAGCACCUUCUGCCCUGGCAAGGCGACUAGAUCAUUCCCGGCAGGUUCUGGAACGCCUUUGACCCAGGGCCAGAAUGACUUGGGGGUGAGGUGGGGGAGUCGUUGUCCCGAAGGUGGAGAUGCACUUGACAGGCCUCUAGUCAGAAUUUUUCCCGAGGAGGUGGAACUCCUCUCUCUGGU
RNAcentral lists this long non-coding RNA (330 nucleotides) under Rattus norvegicus (Norway rat). RNAcentral describes it as "long non-coding RNA NONRATT024564". The record is from RNAcentral. Lineage: Eukaryota; Metazoa; Chordata; Mammalia; Rodentia; Muridae.